This 500-nucleotide ribosomal RNA is filed under the name uncultured bacterium. RNAcentral describes it as "partial 16S ribosomal RNA". It matches the Rfam family "Bacterial small subunit ribosomal RNA", at positions 30 to 523 of the family's 1533-position model. The record is from RNAcentral.
AUUGAACGCUAGCGGGAUGCCUUACACAUGCAAGUCGAACGGCAGCACGGACUUCGGUCUGGUGGCGAGUGGCGAACGGGUGAGUAAUGUAUCGGAACGUGCCCAGUAGCGGGGGAUAACUACGCGAAAGCGUAGCUAAUACCGCAUACGCCCUUAGGGGGAAAGCAGGGGAUCGCAAGACCUUGCACUAUUGGAGCGGCCGAUAUCGGAUUAGCUAGUUGGUGAGGUAAUGGCUCACCAAGGCCGCGAUCCGUAGCUGGUUUGAGAGGACGACCAGCCACACUGGGACUGAGACACGGCCCAGACUCCUACGGGAGGCAGCAGUGGGGAAUUUUGGACAAUGGGGGAAACCCUGAUCCAGCCAUCCCGCGUGUGCGAUGAAGGCCUUCGGGUUGUAAAGCACUUUUGGCAGGAAAGAAACGGCGCGUGCUAAUACCAUGCGCAACUGACGGUACCUGCAGAAUAAGCACCGGCUAACUACGUGCCAGCAGCCGCAGUAA